This 911-nucleotide ribosomal RNA is filed under the name uncultured candidate division CAB-I bacterium. RNAcentral describes it as "bacterial SSU rRNA". It matches the Rfam family "Bacterial small subunit ribosomal RNA", at positions 9 to 946 of the family's 1533-position model. The record is from RNAcentral.
GAGUUUGAUCAUGGCUCAGGAUGAACGCACAAGACAUGCCUAACACAUGCAAAUCGAAUGAAAAGAAUUAAUUAUUGUUUUCAUGGUGAACGGGUGAGUAACACAUAAGAAUCAGCUUUUAGAUAAGGCAUAAAAGAGUAAUAUCUUGGUAAUUCCUUAUAUGCGCAGCAGUGCUUAAAAAGGGGAGUCCCGUCUAAAAACGAGCUUAUGCCUGAUUAGCUAGUUGGCGAGUUAAAAGCUUACCAAGGCGAAGAUCAGUAGCUGGCCUGAGAGGGCGGCCAGCCACAUUGGGACUGAGACACGGCCCAAACUCCUACGGGAGGCAGCAGUGGGGAAUCUUCUGCAAUGGGCGCAAGCCUGACAGAGCGGCGUCGUGUGAAGGAAGAAGGCCUGAAAUAGGUUGUAAACUUCUUUUACUGAGUAAUGAAUAAUGACAACGCAGUAAAAAAGUAUCGGCUAACUCCGUGCCAGCAGCCGCGGUAAUACGGGGGAUGCAAGCGUUAUCCGGAAUCACUGGGCGUAAAGCGUCUGUAGGUGGUUUAGUGUGUUCUUAGUUAAAUUAUGAAGCCUAACUUCAUGAAAAGUAAGAAAACUAUUAGACUUGAGUACGAUAGGGGUAAGAGGAAUUCUUCGAGAAGUAGUGAAAUGCGAAGAUACGAAGGAGAAGAUCAUAAGCGAAGGCUUCUUACUGGGUCGUAACUGACACUGAGAGACGAAAGCUAGGGGAGCGAAUGGGAUUAGAUACCCCAGUAGUCCUAGCUGUAAACGAUGGAUAUUCGGUGCCGGAAAUUUUAUUAGAACAUUUCGGUACCCUAGCUAACGCGUUAAAUAUCCCGCCUGAGGAGUACGCUCGCAAGGGUGAAACUCAAAGGAAUUGACGGGGGCUCGCACAAGCGGUGGAGCAUGUGGUU